RNAcentral lists this long non-coding RNA (283 nucleotides) under Pan troglodytes (chimpanzee). Its description in RNAcentral is "long non-coding RNA NONPTRT002562". Lineage: Eukaryota; Metazoa; Chordata; Mammalia; Primates; Hominidae. The record is from RNAcentral.
ACCCACUGGGCCAAUGAGUAGAGCCAUCUCUGCCCUCAAAUUUUCUUUCUGAUUCAGCCUCCAACUCUGAAGUGGCAGGAGAGGUGGCCUGCUCAGGAGAGCAAAACACAACUGAGGAGGCGGGCUUUAGGUGAAGAUCUGCUGCAGAACCAUGUGGAAGGGAUAUAAAUAUCCCCCAGGAGGGACUCCAGUGGAAGUAAGCAAGGAUGAUCCUGGUGAAGUAAUGCAGCUGUGAAGCUCACCUGACCAGCUGUACAGUUCCUGUUGUUGGUUUCGCAUAAAG